Molecule: long non-coding RNA, 379 nt
Organism: Hordeum vulgare subsp. vulgare (domesticated barley)
Lineage: Eukaryota; Viridiplantae; Streptophyta; Magnoliopsida; Poales; Poaceae
Exons: 3
Source: RefSeq, a predicted model, not a curated record
UUGUAAUUGAAGGCAAUUAUGCUAGAGUGGUCUGCCAGAAACACAAGGAGAAGUCCCAUGCCGUUCUGAACCCAAGCUCUGAGCUUGCAUUGUGUGACUGUAGCUGGUCAAGGAAGGGAAACCUUUGCAAGCAUGCAAUGAAGUCGGCUAAGGAACAUGAACCUUAUGAUGACCCAUAGUUGGAUGUAUGUGAGAGGAUGAACAUUCAGACAUCCUUGAUGACUGGGAUUCUAGGAAGACGAUCACAUACUCGACCAGCCCACUUGUCACCGCGAGAAUCAUCCUGGUAACAAUGUAGCUGAUCUCGGGAUUCAUAUUGUGUUCCUCCAGUUAUUUUGCAUCGUUUGAUCUUUUGUGUCUAUAUACUCCCCCUGGUGCG